UCGGAAUUGCUAGUAAUCGCGGAUCAGCAUGCCGCGGUGAAUACGUUCCCGGGCCUUGUACACACCGCCCGUCACACCAUGGGAGCCGGUAACACCCGAAGUCAGUAGCCUGACCAAUUCUGGAGGGCGCUUGCCGAAGGUGGGAUUGGUGACUGGGGUGAAGUCGUAACAAGGUACC
RNAcentral lists this ribosomal RNA (178 nucleotides) under uncultured bacterium. RNAcentral describes it as "partial 16S ribosomal RNA". It matches the Rfam family "Bacterial small subunit ribosomal RNA", at positions 1326 to 1500 of the family's 1533-position model. The record is from RNAcentral.